UACAGAGGGUGCGAGCGUUGUCCGGAAUCACUGGGCGUAAAGGGCGCGUAGGUGGUGGCUUAAGCGUGCGGUGAAAGCUCGGGGCUCAACUCCGAGUCGGCCGUGCGAACUGGGCUCACUGGAGCAUAGUAGAGGCAGGUGGAAUUCCGGGUGUAGCGGUGGAAUGCGUAGAGAUCCGGAAGAACACCGGUGGCGAAGGCGGCUCACUGGCCCGUAACUGACGCUCAUGCACGACAGCGUGGGGAUCAAACAGG
Molecule: ribosomal RNA, 254 nt
Filed under: uncultured bacterium
Lineage: Bacteria
Description: partial 16S ribosomal RNA
Rfam family: Bacterial small subunit ribosomal RNA
Source: RNAcentral